GACUCUCUGGCUUGUAACUGACGCUGAGGCGCGAAAGCGUGGGUAGCAAACAGGAUUAGAUACCCUGGUAGUCCACGCCGUAAACGAUGAGUGCUAGGUGUUAGGGGUUUCGAUACCCUUGGUGCCGAAGUUAACACAUUAAGCACUCCGCCUGGGGAGUACGGUCGCAAGACUGAAACUCAAAGGAAUUGACGGGGACCCGCACAAGCAGUGGAGUAUGUGGUUUAAUUCGAAGCAACGCGAAGAACCUUACCAGGUCUUGACAUCCCUCUGACCGGUACAGAGAUGUACCUUUCCUUCGGGACAGAGGAGACAGGUGGUGCAUGGUUGUCGUCAGCUCGUGUCGUGAGAUGUUGGGUUAAGUCCCGCAACGAGCGCAACCCUUGAUCUUAGUUGCCAGCACUUCGGAUGGGCACUCUAAGGUGACUGCCGGUGACAAACCGGAGGAAGGUGGGGAUGACGUCAAAUCAUCAUGCCCCUUAUGACCUGGGCUACACACGUACUACAAUGGCCGGUACAACGGGCAGUGAAACCGCGAGGUGGAACGAAUCCUAAAAAGCCGGUCUCAGUUCGGAUUGCAGGCUGCAACUCGCCUGCAUGAAGUCGGAAUGCUAGUAAUCG
RNAcentral lists this ribosomal RNA (621 nucleotides) under Paenibacillus sp. CH53. RNAcentral describes it as "bacterial SSU rRNA". It matches the Rfam family "Bacterial small subunit ribosomal RNA", at positions 723 to 1344 of the family's 1533-position model. The record is from RNAcentral. Lineage: Bacteria; Bacillati; Bacillota; Bacilli; Caryophanales; Paenibacillaceae.